AUUUUACGCUGGCGGAAUGCUUUACACAUGCAAGUCGAACGGCAGCACGGGGGCAACCCUGGUGGCGAGUGGCGAACGGGUGAGUAAUACAUCGGAACGUGCCCAGUCGUGGGGGAUAACGUAGCGAAAGUUACGCUAAUACCGCAUACGAUCUACGGAUGAAAGCGGGGGAUCGCAAGACCUCGCGCGAUUGGAGCGGCCGAUGUCAGAUUAGGUUGUUGGUGAGGUAAAGGCUCACCAAGCCGACGAUCUGUAGCUGGUCUGAGAGGACGACCAGCCACACUGGGACUGAGACACGGCCCAGACUCCUACGGGAGGCAGCAGUGGGGAAUUUUGGACAAUGGACGAAAGUCUGAUCCAGCCAUUCCGCGUGCAGGACGAAGGCCUUCGGGUUGUAAACUGCUUUUGUACGGAACGAAAAAGCCUUGGCUAAUACCCAGGGUCCAUGACGGUACCGUAAGAAUAAGCACCGGCUAACUACGUGCCAGCAGCCGCGGUAAUACGUAGGGUGCGAGCGUUAAUCGGAAUUACUGGGCGUAAAGCGUGCGCAGGCGGUUUUGUAAGACAGAGGUGAAAUCCCCGGGCUCAACCUGGGAACUGCCUUUGUGACUGCAAGGCUAGAGUGCGGCAGAGGGGGAUGGAAUUCCGCGUGUAGCAGUGAAAUGCGUAGAUAUGCGGAGGAACACCGAUGGCGAAGGCAAUCCCCUGGGCCUGCAC
Molecule: ribosomal RNA, 717 nt
Filed under: uncultured bacterium
Lineage: Bacteria
Description: bacterial SSU rRNA
Rfam family: Bacterial small subunit ribosomal RNA
Source: RNAcentral